This 112-nucleotide ribosomal RNA is filed under the name uncultured eukaryote. Its description in RNAcentral is "partial small subunit ribosomal RNA". It matches the Rfam family "Eukaryotic small subunit ribosomal RNA", at positions 1675 to 1812 of the family's 1831-position model. The record is from RNAcentral.
GUCGCUGCCCGGAACUGAGCCGUUUCGAGAAGCCUGGGGACUGCAGAUCUGGGACCUGGGGAUCGCAGCGGCUUGAACCGGGCAAAAGUCGUAACAAGGUUUCCGUAGGUGA